AGUGAACGCUGGCGGAGGCCUAACACAUGCAAGUCGAACGGCAGCACAGUAAGAGCUUGCUCUUACGGGUGGCGAGUGGCGGACGGGUGAGGAAUACAUCGGAAUCUACUUUUUCGUGGGGGAUAACGUAGGGAAACUUACGCUAAUACCGCAUACGACCUACGGGUGAAAGCAGGGGAUCUUCGGACCUUGCGCGAUUGAAUGAGCCGAUGUCGGAUUAGCUAGUUGGCGGGGUAAAGGCCCACCAAGGCGACGAUCCGUAGCUGGUCUGAGAGGAUGAUCAGCCACACUGGAACUGAGACACGGUCCAGACUCCUACGGGAGGCAGCAGUGGGGAAUAUUGGACAAUGGGCGCAAGCCUGAUCCAGCCAUACCGCGUGGGUGAAGAAGGCCUUCGGGUUGUAAAGCCCUUUUGUUGGGAAAGAAAAGCAGCAGGUUAAUACCCCGCUGUUCUGACGGUACCCAAAGAAUAAGCACCGGCUAACUUCGUG
This 491-nucleotide ribosomal RNA is filed under the name uncultured bacterium. RNAcentral's name for it is "partial 16S ribosomal RNA". It matches the Rfam family "Bacterial small subunit ribosomal RNA", at positions 29 to 507 of the family's 1533-position model. The record is from RNAcentral.